GAUGAACGCUGGCGGCGUGCCUAAUACAUGCAAGUCGAGCGAACAGACGAGGAGCUUGCUCCUCUGACGUUAGCGGCGGACGGGUGAGUAACACGUGGAUAACCUACCUCUAAGACUGGGAUAACUUCGGGAAACCGGAGCUAAUACCGGAUACUAUAUUGAACCGCAUGGUUCAAUAGUGCAAGACGGCUUUGCUGUCACUUAUCGAUGGAUCCGCGCCGCAUUAGCUAGUUGGUAAGGUAACGGCUUACCAAGGCGACGAUGCGUAGCCGACCUGAGAGGGUGAUCGGCCACACUGGAACUGAGACACGGUCCAGACUCCUACGGGAGGCAGCAGUAGGGAAUCUUCCGCAAUGGGCGAAAGCCUGACGGAGCAACGCCGCGUGAGUGAUGAAGGUCUUCGGAUCGUAAAACUCUGUUAUUAGGGAAGAACAAAUGUGUAAGUAACUAUGCACGUCUUGACGGUACCUAAUCAGAAAGCCACGGCUAACUACGUG
RNAcentral lists this ribosomal RNA (497 nucleotides) under uncultured bacterium. RNAcentral describes it as "partial 16S ribosomal RNA". It matches the Rfam family "Bacterial small subunit ribosomal RNA", at positions 28 to 507 of the family's 1533-position model. The record is from RNAcentral.